RNAcentral lists this ribosomal RNA (468 nucleotides) under uncultured bacterium. RNAcentral's name for it is "partial 16S ribosomal RNA". It matches the Rfam family "Bacterial small subunit ribosomal RNA", at positions 28 to 507 of the family's 1533-position model. The record is from RNAcentral.
GACGAACGCUGGCGGCGUGCUUAACACAUGCAAGUCGAACGGAAAGGCCCUGCUUUUGUGGGGUGCUCGAGUGGCGAACGGGUGAGUAACACGUGAGUAACCUGCCCUUGACUUUGGGAUAACUUCAGGAAACUGGGGCUAAUACCGGAUAGGAGCUCCUGCUGCAUGGUGGGGGUUGGAAAGUUUCGGCGGUUGGGGAUGGACUCGCGGCUUAUCGGCUUGUUGGUGGGGUAGUGGCUUACCAAGGCUUUGACGGGUAGCCGGCCUGAGAGGGUGACCGGCCACAUUGGGACUGAGAUACGGCCCAGACUCCUAUGGGAGGCAGCAGUGGGGAAUAUUGCACAAUGGGCGGAAGCCUGAUGCAGCAACGCCGCGUGCGGGAUGACGGCCUUCGGGUUGUAAACCGCUUUCGCCUGUGACGAAGCGUGAGUGACGGUAAUGGGUAAAGAAGCACCGGCUAACUACGUG